GCGCGCUCUAAGGGAUACUCUCUGACCGUGAUGACGUUCUAACUAAAAAGAUGGUUUCCUGAGAGCAGUGUACCUGCAACUACUUUGUUGCACUGCCCAGAGAGCUGCGCUGCUGCAAGGAGGAGAAAGUUGUCGUCUCCGUUUAUGGCGUGGGAGCUGCUCAUCGCGUCCCGACGAAUCUAGAAGUCGUAGACGACAACGGCAAAGUCGUUUUGACGACAGAUCCUAAGCCUGUUGCACAAGGCACGCCGGCUGAGUUUGCUCUCUCCAUACCUUGUCAGUAUAUUUCCACUCCUCAAGUACCCGGAAAGCAGCGUUUUGUUAGCGUCCGAGUUGUGAGCACGCGCGGCAUCUUGUUGUUGAACAAAGCUGUGAGGGAAGGAGUGAGAAACAGUCCGGAAUUGGUUCUCAUCCAGACCGACAAGCCUAUAUAUACAGAAAACGACGAUGUUAAGUUAAAUAUGCUCAAGAAUUUGAGUGUAGUGACGUUCCUUGUGUGUGUGGUUAUUACAGUGAACAUCAGAGCGGUAGUUCUUGGCUGCAACUUUGCUCCUUGCUGUGGAGGAGGCACUGAUGUAAUAUGUUUGUCAUAAAUUAUUGCAAAACAUUUUUAUUCCAUUUUUUAUUUUGCACUCUGUAUACAACGUCUUGUUGGACGUCAAAUAGAAUCCUCAAGACGUUAUUGUUGAAAGGCUUGAUAUUAAACCAUGCUCAACACAGGGAGGUAUCUAGCGAAUCAACUUUAACUUGGGUUUAACUUCUAUUGAGGGUGAUUGGUCAAUUGUUGCUAAACGCAGUUCUGAUAUGAGAAAUGUUGUUAUAUUCUAUUAAAGUGGUUGUAAUUUGUUUCUCUGUUGAUUAGGAUAUUGUGGUCUCCAAAAAUAUAUUUGAAGUGAAAUAAUGUUCUACUUCGAUUUGAAGUCUCUAUAAGAGCACCCAAAUUUGUGAAGGCAACCGAUGACAAUAUACAAAUUGGGUUGUGACAGCAAGUUAUCAAAUUAACUUGUGCUAGAAGCGCUUUAUACUGCAUGCAUAAUCUUCAUUGAUACUUGUAGGAAUUCUUAUGGAAAAUGUGUACUUGGAAUACUGAAUGCAAAACUCGGGAUCUGCAAUGAAAGAACUACUAGUGUCGUGGUCUUUAGG
This is a long non-coding RNA of Corticium candelabrum, 1143 nucleotides long. RefSeq lists it as uncharacterized. The transcript is spliced from 6 exons. The record is from RefSeq and is a predicted model, not a curated record. NCBI's taxonomy places the organism in Eukaryota, Metazoa, Porifera, Homoscleromorpha, Homosclerophorida, Plakinidae.